CCUGUGUAUUCAUUCACAUAACACCACACAGACAUGACACACACAUGCAUAGCACACAUAAUACAUAUAGACCACACAAUUAUACAACCUCACAGAGUAAGUUUUCUUGAUAGCUCAGGUUGAGGUUUCAGGAGAUACAUAAGACAUCCAAGAGAAUGACCCAAAGGUAUUUUUCAAAAAGUUGUGAUCUCAGUACAUUUCAAUUUUUCACAGUAUUCACUGAGAGAAAG
Pelobates cultripes (western spadefoot toad) is the source of this 230-nucleotide non-coding RNA. Lineage: Eukaryota; Metazoa; Chordata; Amphibia; Anura; Pelobatidae. The record is from the annotation of a GenBank genome assembly.